Molecule: ribosomal RNA, 492 nt
Filed under: uncultured bacterium
Lineage: Bacteria
Description: partial 16S ribosomal RNA
Rfam family: Bacterial small subunit ribosomal RNA
Source: RNAcentral
AGUGAACGCUGGCGGUAGGCCUAACACAUGCAAGUCGAACGGCAGCACAGUAAGAGCUUGCUCUUACGGGUGGCGAGUGGCGGACGAGUGAGGAAUACAUCGGAAUCUACUUUUUCGUGGGGGUUAACGUAGGGAAACUUACGCUAAUACCGCAUACGACCUACGGGUGAAAGCAGGGGAUCUUCUGACCUUGCGCGAUUGAAUGAGCCGAUGUUGGAUUUGCUAGUUGGCGGGGUAAAGGCCCACCAAGGCGACGAUCCGUAGCUGGUCUGAGAGGAUGAUCAGCCACACUGGAACUGAGACACGGUCCAGACUCCUACGGGAGGCAGCAGUGGGGAAUAUUGGACAAUGGGCGCAAGCCUGAUCCAGCCAUACCGCGUGGGUGAAGAAGGCCUUCGGGUUGUAAAGCCCUUUUGUCGGGAAAGAAAAGCAGCAGGUUAAUACCCCGCUGUUCUGACGGUACCCAAAGAAUAAGCACCGGCUAACUUCGUG